AGGAAGGUCUCCAAACAGACAGGGGCCCACGCACCGGCACGCACGCACACAAAGACCCAAGGCCAGUCUGCGGGCUGUGCAGCUGGCGAGCCUGUGUCCCCGUCCCCAUGCGUGCCCUCAGGAUUUCAUGACAAGAAUGAAACUGAUCAGGCAGCCUCCAGCUCCAUAAUUAGGGCCAAUUGAAGGAGACAAAGAAAUCUAUGGAGAUCACAGUGGGAAGUGGUAGUGAUGAACGCUGGCUUUGAAACAGCGUUUUGUACUCACUGGACCAUCACUGUCUUUACAUAAAAGCUGCCUGCCUCCUUUCCCUCACUCCCCUCCCUGGGAGCAGAGGCCGCCGGGGAGGCAGGCUCCAGACAGCCCCUCCAGCAAUUGCCUUUUCUGGGUCAGGCCUCAUUUCUCGUGGCACGACAGGAGGAGGACGGGGGGCGGUUAUGACAACAAAACCACCCUGGGGCCCAGACCUGGAAGCCGUCAGCUAUGGAGGACCCUGGAAGCAGGCAGAGAAAGGUUUGGAGUUUUCAGUGCGAUGACACCAGCGUGCCUGCGGAAGUGGCUGUGUCUCCUCUUGCCUCCUUCCCCACCCAAUUCCGCCCCAGGAGCCCAGGGAUGGAGGCCCAGGAGACGGAUCCCACAAGAGCCAGCACCCACUCCACCCCAGGAGCUCAGCAAACAUCCACAGAGUGAACAUUCCAAGCAACAUAGUCCAGGAGCCACGUUCCAGCCAUGGGGCCUCUGCACUGCUGUUCUCUUCACAUGGCCUGCCCUUCCCCCAGAAAGAGAGAAGAGGCCCUCUCUGGUUGUCCCAUCAAAACUCCACCCUUCUCUCACCCUCCUCCCAGCUGUAUCCCUUCUCUGCAGCCCUAACAUGCAUUCCACUUUAUUUCCCUUGUCUACUGUCUGCCUCUCUAACUACUAAGUCAGUUCCAGCCGCUCCAGGAUUUUUGUCUUUUCAGUUUAGCCCUGGUUCCUCAGGGCCUUAGUGACUAGUGUGUAGUGCCUAGCAGCCAGUAGAUGCUCAAUAACUGCUUGCUGAUUGACUGGGGUGAGCUCCCCAUCCAUGGAGCUAUUUCAAGCCAAGCCUAGACGAUCUUUCAGGGCUAGUUCUAACCUAAGACUUGGUAGUUCCAUGACUCUCUUCCUGGCCCAGACCGAAAAGGAACUUUCAGCAGGAACCCGGGACUGGGAUCUGAGAUGGGGCUCCUUGGAGGACUCUGACUAGGAAGAGAGACGGGAGGCCGCACCAAAAACACAAGCCCUUCAUGGGUCUCCCAGGCGUAGGUCUGGGGAAUCCCCCAGGCCCCUCAGGAUCGACCCUGCUGGCCCUGGAUCUCCAGGACGCGUCCCUCUGACCUGCCUGCCCGGCCUGUGAGUCCCCGGCAGCAACCGCUGCAGACACAGGCUGCCCAGCGCCAGGGCCAGGCCGGAUUAUCAUACAUUAAGACAUAAUUACUCUGCGGAAAUUUACAAUACAAAGCGCCCUCCCCAAGUUGGCUUCAGAAGGAUUCCAAGGAUACAAAGACCUGCUGUGUCUGCCACCGACCCAAGCUGGCCCCAGCCAGAAUUUCAAAAGAAGUGGGUGGGUUAGUUUUUGGAAAAACCCCAUUCUACCCUCCAGGCAGAAGCCCCGCCCCAAGGGUAGAGCCCUCUGAUACCCCAAGCCCCACCCAGAGGGGAGGGUCCCCUCCACCCCGACCAGCGUUGCUCCUAAACCACUCGGGUUCCCCCAAGCCCAGAAGCUCCAAGCUGACACCACCAAGGUCACCCCACUUCUCCCAAGUUCUCUCUUUUUAGACUAUUUAGGCCUAAGGGCAGAAAGAACCUUAAAUCCCAAGAUGCUAGCUUUUGACCUGCAGAGAGGUGUGGCAGCCCACUGACAUUGAUUAAGCGCCUGCUGUGUGCCUGGUACUGUGCCAGCAUCAGGAUGCCACAGAGAACAAGACAAACCAGAUCGCUGUGCUGGGGGGAGCUUACAGUCCAGUUGAGGAGACGCAGUAAGAUGCUAAAAAAAAAAAAAAUGCACAUCAGGUGUGCAGGAUGGGUGAGUGACCGGGGUGCACGGUGGCCAGAGAGCCUCAAAGGUGGCAUCUGAGCAGAGGCCUGAAUGAGCAAGAGAGACUAGCCUGUGCAAAGGCCCUGAGGUGGGGCCAUGUGUGGUGAGGGGUAGUGGAGGCAGAGAAUGCUGGCUUUUACUCUCAAGAGGGUUUCCAGCAGGGAAGCUGCCUGAUUCGGGGGACACUUGGCCUGCUGUUCUGUUAGAUUCCUGCAUCUACCACCUCCUGGCCCUGGGAUGCUGGGCAAGUCAGUUAGCCCUUUAAGCUUUUGUUCCUCCCUGCAAAAUAAAAACAGUAACCACAGCUAACACACGCUUGUUGCACAGAACAAGACAGAGAAAGUCGGGAAAGGGAGGGCCAUGCAUGUGAGGGGCGGGGGAGAAGCUCUCUGAGCCUUAGCUGCCCCA
This 2461-nucleotide long non-coding RNA is filed under the name Homo sapiens (human). RNAcentral's name for it is "HSALNT0234647". Lineage: Eukaryota; Metazoa; Chordata; Mammalia; Primates; Hominidae. The record is from RNAcentral.